Molecule: ribosomal RNA, 405 nt
Filed under: uncultured prokaryote
Description: bacterial SSU rRNA
Rfam family: Bacterial small subunit ribosomal RNA
Source: RNAcentral
UGGGGGAUAUUGCACAAUGGGCGAAAGCCUGAUGCAGCAACGCCGCGUGAGGGAAGACGGUUUUCGGAUUGUAAACCUCUGUCUUUGGUGAAGAAAGAAAUGACGGUAGCCGAGGAGGAAGCCACGGCUAACUACGUGCCAGCAGCCGCGGUAAUACGUAGGUGGCAAGCGUUGUCCGGAAUUACUGGGUGUAAAGGGAGCGCAGGCGGGAGAGCAAGUCAGCUGUGAAAACUAUGGGCUUAACCCAUAAACUGCAGUUGAAACUGUUUUUCUUGAGUGGAGUAGAGGUAGGCGGAAUUCCGAGUGUAGCGGUGAAAUGCGUAGAUAUUCGGAGGAACACCAGUGGCGAAGGCGGCCUACUGGGCUCUAACUGACGCUGAGGCUCGAAAGUGUGGGGAGCAAACA